UGACCUGCCAGAAGGAUCAUUAAGAUCAAAGGCUAUACCUUAUGAUGUUUGCCUUUUAAAAAGUAAAUGCUACGCUGAAUUUCAUAGUUCACAGCUUUCAGCUGGAAGUGACAGCAUGAAUUCUUGGUAUCUGCCUUGGUUUCUGUGCUCUCCUGCCCUCCUCUUGGUUUCUGGCUUGCCAACUCCAGAAAUCUUUGAUGUAGAUAAUGGACUUGACCGGGAUAUAUUUGAUAUCAAUGAAGAUCUGGGACUGGAUCUUUUUGAGGGAGACAUCAUACUUGAUGAGAUACAAGAAAGAAAUGCCAUCGUUGGAGAAAGAUAUAGGUGGCCUCAUACUAUUCCAUAUGUUCUAGAUGAUAGCUUGGAGAUGAAUGCCAGGGGGGUUAUCCUCAAGGCAUUUGAACGCUAUCGCCUAAAAUCAUGCAUUGACUUCAAGCCUUGGUCUGGAGAACCCAACUAUAUAUCAGUGUUCAAGGGCAAUGGCUGCUGGUCUUCAGUGGGGAAGCAACUUACUAGGAUGCAACAACUGUCCAUUGGAGAGGGCUGCGACAAAAUAGCAACGGUUCAACAUGAGUUUCUCCAUGCCCUUGGGUUCUGGCAUGAACAGUCACGGUCCGAUCGGGAUGACUAUGUCAGCAUAAUUUGGGACAGAAUUAUUUCAGGCAAAGAAAGAAAUUUUGACUCCUAUGAUGAUCAAGUGAUAGACUCCAUGAAUGUUCCCUAUGAUUACAGCUCAGUGAUGCACUACAGUAAAACUGCAUUCGGAAAUGGAUCAGAACCUACAAUUGUAACAAGGGUCCUGGACUUCAUGGAUGUGAUUGGCCAGCGAAUGGAUUUCAGUGACUCUGAUGUCUUAAAGUUGAAUCAACUGUAUAACUGCUCCUCCUCCUUGAGCUUUAUGGAGUCCUGCGAUUUUGAGCUGGGAAAUGUGUGUGGGAUGAUUCAGAGUUCAGCAGACAGUGCUGACUGGCAGCGGCUCUCCCAGGUCUCUGAGGGGCCAGAGAGCGAUCACUCCAACAUGGGCCAGUGCAGAGGUUCUGGCUUCUUCAUGCAUUUCAACAGUAGCUCUGUAAACGAGGGGGCUACAGCAAUACUGGAAAGUAGAAUAUUCUACCCUAAACGAGGAUUUCAGUGCUUGCAAUUUUUUUUGUACAACAGUGGAAGCCAAGAUGACCAACUGAACAUCUAUAUCAGGGAGUAUUCUGUGGCUCAUGUGAGCAGCACUCUAACCCUUGUGGAACAAAUAAAAGAUAUACCCUCUGGGAGCUGGCAACUUUACCACGUAACACUGAAUGUGACCAGUAAAUUUCGAGUGGUGUUUGAAGGGGUCAGAGGCGCUGGUGCCUCACUGGGUGGCCUGUCUAUUGACGACAUCAAUCUCUCAGAAACAUUGUGCCCUCAUCAUGUCUGGCAUAUAAGGAAUUUCACACAGCUUAUUGGCAGCCCCAAUGGGUCUUUCUUCAGCCCUCCAUUUUAUUCUUCUAAGGGAUAUGCCUUUCAGAUUUACUUGGAUCUAUAUAGUUUGCCUAAAAUAGGAAUAUAUUUCCACCUGAUCUCUGGAGCCAAUGACGGUCAGUUAGAGUGGCCGUGUCCUUGGCAACAAGUCACGAUAACAAUCUUGGAUCAAACUCCUGACAUUCGACAGCGUAUGUCCAACCAGCGGAGUCUAACGACAGACCCAUUUCUGACCAUUGAUAAUGGAACCUAUUUUUGGGACAGGCCUUCCAAAGUGGGAGCACAAGUUAUUUUCCCUAAUGGAACUCAGUUUCAAAGAGGUAGGGGCCGUGGAUUCCCUAACUUUAUGACCCAAGAGAUGCUGAAGAGCAGAGAUUUUAUCAAAGGAGAUGAUGUUUAUAUCCUACUGACAGUGGAAGACAUAUCCCACCUUAAUGCACAAAAUUACCCACUUCCAACCUUGGACGUCAGUGACCUCUGCACAAGUUUCAGGUGUGAGAAUGAUGGGAUCUGCAUUCUCCAGAAUGGCAGAGCUGAGUGCAGGUGUCGGUCGGGGGAUGACUGGUGGUACAUGGGAGAAAGGUGUGAAAAGAGAGGCUCAACACGAGACACCAUUGUCAUCGCCAUAUCGUCCACUGCUGCUGUGUUUGCCCUGAUGCUGAUCAUCACUCUCGUCAGCGUCUACUGUACCAGGAAGAAGUAUCUUAAAGAGUCAAGUUCAAGGACAGUCAACACUAUUAUGGAAAAUCAAUAUGCACUUUGAAGAUUAACUCUGCAAUACAGCCAGCCAAUGAAAUGAAAGACUCUUCAUCAUGGAUUCACCCAUAAUAUAUUACAACCACUUCCUCCUUCUGUAAAUGGAUCAUCUCUGUAAAUAGCUGGAUCCUGAAUACUUUCUCCUAUUUAAAAAAUGUUUUGUGAGCCUCCAUACCUACACUGAAACCAACCACCACACAAGAGCCAAUAAGUUUUAGAGCAAGACAUACCACGCAAAUUCUCCAGCAACGCAGGAACAUAGCCCUGAACAUCAACAUACAGGCCGCCCAAGGUCACACCUAACACACAGACCCAUCUCAAAACUCAUAACUGGGCACUCCAUUGCUCUCCAAAGAGAAGAAAUCAAGUUCCACGCACCAGAACACUGACGCAAGCUUCCCUAACCAGGAAAUCUCAACAAGCCAAUCGUCUAACCCCACCCACUGGGUUAAUCCUCCACAACAAAAAGGAACCACAGACCUCUAGAAUACAGAAAGCCCACUCCAGAUACAGCAAUCUAAACAAGAUGAAAAGGCAAAGAAAUACCCAACAGGUAAAGGAACAUGAAAAAUGCCCACCGAGUCAAACAAAAGAGGAGGAGAUAGGGAAUCUACCUGAAAAAGAAUUUAGAAUAAUGAUAAUAAAAAUGACCCAAAAUCUUGAAAACAAAAUGGAAUUACAGAUAAACAGCCUGGAAACAAAGAUUGAAAAGAUUCAAGAACUGUUUAAUAAAGACCUAGAAGAAAUAAAAAAGAGUCAAUUACAAAUGAAUAAUGCAAUGAAUGAGAUCAAAAACACUUUGGAGGGAACCAAGAGUAGAAUAACGGAGGCAGAAGAUAGGAUAAGUGAGGUAGAAGAUAAAAUGGUGGAAAUAAAUGAAGCAGAGAGGAAAAAAGAAAAAAGGAUCAAAAGAAAUGAGGACAACCUCAGGGACCUCUGGGACACUGUGAAACGCCCCAACAUUCGAAUCAUAGGAGUUCCAGAAGAAGAAGACAAAAAGAAAGGCCAUGAGAAAAUACUCGAGGAGAUAAUAGCUGAAAACUUCCCUAAAAUGGGGAAGGAAAUAGCCACCCAAAUCCAAGAAACCCAGAGAGUCCCAAACAGGAUAAACCCAAGGCGAAACACCCCAAGACACAUAUUAAUCAAAUUAACAAAGAUCAAACACAAAGAACAAAUAUUAAAAGCAGCAAGGGACAAACAACAAAUAACACACAAAGGGAUUCCCAUAAGGAUAACAGCUGAUCUAUCAAUAGAAACCCUCCAGGCCAGAAGGGAAUGGCAGGACGUACUGAAAGUAAUGAAAGAGAAUAACCUACAACCUAGAUUACUGUAUCCAGCAAGGAUCUCAUUCAGAUAUGAAGGAGAAUUCAAAAGCUUUACAGAUAAGCAAAAGCUGAGAGAAUUCAGCACCACCAAA
RNA transcript from Dama dama (fallow deer), 3628 nucleotides. It is a transcript of the gene named meprin A subunit beta, with no coding region annotated. The transcript is spliced from 16 exons. The record is from RefSeq and is a predicted model, not a curated record. Lineage: Eukaryota; Metazoa; Chordata; Mammalia; Artiodactyla; Cervidae.